AACCUUAUGGACCUGCGGGCGUAUACCUGCGGAGGGAUCAUUACCGAGUUUACAACUCCCAAACCCCUGUGAACAUACCAAUUGUUGCCUCGGCGGAUCAGCCCGCUCCCGGUAAAACGGGACGGCCCGCCAGAGGACCCCUAAACUCUGUUUCUAUAUGUAACUUCUGAGUAAAACCAUAAAUAAAUCAAAACUUUCAACAAUGGAUCU
Molecule: unclassified non-coding RNA, 210 nt
Filed under: soil metagenome
Description: partial contains 5.8S ribosomal RNA, internal transcribed spacer 2, and large subunit ribosomal RNA
Source: RNAcentral